UUGCAGCCAUUAAGCCGACUGUCUCGCUGACGUGCGGUUCUGGUGUGGCAAAGGCUGCAGACAGCGACUCUUUGGUUGUGUAUGAACUCAGCUGGGAGGUGCUGAGUGCUUUAAGGGACCACGGAGACAAAG
RNAcentral lists this small nucleolar RNA (132 nucleotides) under Larimichthys crocea (large yellow croaker). Its description in RNAcentral is "Small nucleolar RNA SNORA70 (ENSLCRG00005018658.1)". It matches the Rfam family "Small nucleolar RNA SNORA70". Rfam says of the family: snoRNA U70 seems to be exclusive to mammals and is a member of the H/ACA class of snoRNA which contain H (ANANNA) and ACA box motifs. H/ACA box snoRNAs are involved in the conversion of uridines to pseudouridines (5-ribosyluracil) a constituent of structural RNAs (transfer, ribosomal, small nuclear, and small nucleolar). Lineage: Eukaryota; Metazoa; Chordata; Actinopteri; Sciaenidae. The record is from RNAcentral.